CACAGAUAAGUGCCCGACGUCACAUGACUUUAACACAGCAAAGAUAAGACUAGACCCCAGGAUGUCUGCUCUUAACAACUGUUGAUUUCAACCUUGUUUCAACAGCUAAAGUGUCUACACGACUAUUCUCCUUGGAUUCCCUUUUGGCAAAAAUUCCUUCAAGGCCCCGUUCCAAUGGCACCUUCUUCCGGAAACCUUUGCUGACCCUCCCCAGGCAGGUCUCUUCUCUGAGUCCCCAGAGGUUCAUCCACACCUCCAUCGUAGCACUCACCACAACGAAUCGUAGUUGUUCUUUUCACGCUGUCUGAAGUUGGAUCACGAGCUCGUCAAAGCCCUGGGCAGCUUCUGCUUCCUCUUUCUGUCCCCGGAGCCCAGCAGGUCAUCAGGCACAUAGAAGGUGCUGGUGGUCUGGGAAUGUGAACGUGAGAAGCGGCCUUGUGCCGGGAGCUGUGCUAAGUGCUGGGAGGACACCGACGACUAGGACAGAACACACUCCCUGGCCACCCAGCGUCCGCUCUGGUGGUCAAGGAGAAAAAGGGAGAGGAACAGUUGAAAGAGACAAGCCUUCAGCAGCGAUAUGGUAAGAGAGGAGGUGUAAGAUUUAGCAAUAAAUUAGUAAUGGACAUGAAGUUGAAGGGAGUUUAUGAAGUUAUCAGAUCAAGUGCUAUUGAGAAAUUACGAAG
Molecule: long non-coding RNA, 683 nt
Filed under: Equus caballus (horse)
Lineage: Eukaryota; Metazoa; Chordata; Mammalia; Perissodactyla; Equidae
Description: lncRNA (ENSECAG00000058076.1)
Source: RNAcentral